RNAcentral lists this long non-coding RNA (348 nucleotides) under Elaeis guineensis (African oil palm). Its description in RNAcentral is "long non-coding RNA (EGUI_LNC020858)". The record is from RNAcentral. Lineage: Eukaryota; Viridiplantae; Streptophyta; Magnoliopsida; Arecales; Arecaceae.
AGUCCCAUUCAUUUGGGACUUUAGGAUUUAACUAAUUGAAUUUAUUUCAAACCCAAUCCAAUUAGAUUCAAAUAAAAUAUAAUAAAUUUAAUCUAAUUAGGCUCCAAUAAUCUCAAUUAAAUUUGAUCAAAUCUAUAAAUUAAUUGAGCCAUAGAUCCGAUCAAAUCAGGAUCAUUUCUUCCUUAUUGAUUAGGUCAUCUCAUAACCUAAUGAGAUCUGAUCUGAUUGAAUCUAAUUCAAUCAGACUUGAUUCAGAUUUUAAUGCUCAAUCAAAUUGAGUUAAAUAGUGAUCUAAUCACUAAUUAAUCCUUCAUUAAUAAUAGAGUCUCAGUUCAGUGAGACUCUUCA